ACUCUUGNNUNNNCNGAAUUCGGCAGAGAUGCCUUAGUGCCUUCGGGAACUGUGAGACAGGUGCUGCAUGGCUGUCGUCAGCUCGUGUUGUGAAAUGUUGGGUUAAGUCCCGCAACGAGCGCAACCCUUAUCCUUUGUUGCCAGCACGUAAUGGUGGGAACUCAAAGGAGACUGCCGGUGAUAAACCGGAGGAAGGUGGGGAUGACGUCAAGUCAUCAUGGCCCUUACGAGUAGGGCUACACACGUGCUACAAUGGCGUAUACAAAGAGAAGCGAACUCGCGAGAGCCAGCGGACCUCAUAAAGUACGUCGUAGUCCGGAUCGGAGUCUGCAACUCGACUCCGUGAAGUCGGAAUCGCUAGUAAUCGUAGAUCAGAAUGCUACGGUGAAUACGUUCCCGGG
Molecule: ribosomal RNA, 401 nt
Filed under: Serratia sp. AZTITEMP209
Lineage: Bacteria; Pseudomonadati; Pseudomonadota; Gammaproteobacteria; Enterobacterales; Yersiniaceae
Description: bacterial SSU rRNA
Rfam family: Bacterial small subunit ribosomal RNA
Source: RNAcentral